UGGCUGGUGUUCUAACGUGGGCCCGUGAACCGGGUUGCGGACAGUGUCUGGUGGGUAGUUUGACUGGGGCGGUCUCCUCCUAAAGAGUAACGGAGGAGCACGAAGGUUGGCUAAUCCUGGUCGGACAUCAGGAGGUUAGUGCAAUGGCAUAAGCCAGCUUGACUGCGAGCGUGACGGCGCGAGCAGGUGCGAAAGCAGGUCAUAGUGAUCCGGUGGUUCUGAAUGGAAGGGCCAUCGCUCAACGGAUAAAAGGUACUCCGGGGAUAACAGGCUGAUACCGCCCAAGAGUUCAUAUCGACGGCGGUGUUUGGCACCUCGAUGUCGGCUCAUCACAUCCUGGGGCUGAAGUAGGUCCCAAGGGUAUGGCUGUUCGCCAUUUAAAGUGGUACGCGAGCUGGGUUUAGAACGUCGUGAGACAGUUCGGUCCCUAUCUGCCGUGGGCGCUGGAAGAUUGAGGGGGGCUGCUCCUAGUACGAGAGGACCGGAGUGGACGCAUCACUGGUGUUCGGGUUGUCAUGCCAAUGGCACUGCCCGGUAGCUACAUGCGGAAGAGAUAAGUGCUGAAAGCAUCUAAGCACGAAACUUGCCCCGAGAUGAAUCUUCCCUGAGCCUUUAAGGCUCCUGAAGGAACGUUGAAGACGACGACGUUGAUAGGCCGGGUGUGUAAGCGCAGCGAUGCGUUGAGCU
RNAcentral lists this ribosomal RNA (687 nucleotides) under Salmonella enterica. Its description in RNAcentral is "partial 23S ribosomal RNA". It matches the Rfam family "Bacterial large subunit ribosomal RNA", at positions 2211 to 2892 of the family's 2925-position model. The record is from RNAcentral. Lineage: Bacteria; Pseudomonadati; Pseudomonadota; Gammaproteobacteria; Enterobacterales; Enterobacteriaceae.